This 1367-nucleotide ribosomal RNA is filed under the name uncultured bacterium. Its description in RNAcentral is "16S ribosomal RNA". It matches the Rfam family "Bacterial small subunit ribosomal RNA", at positions 34 to 1396 of the family's 1533-position model. The record is from RNAcentral.
CGCUAGCUACAGGCUUAACACAUGCAAGUCGAGGGUCAGCAUGGUCUUAGCUUGCUAAGGCCGAUGGCGACCGGCGCACGGGUGAGUAACACGUAUCCAACCUGCCGUCUACUCUUGGACAGCCUUCUGAAAGGAAGAUUAAUACAAGAUGGCAUCAUGAGUCCGCAUGUUCACAUGAUUAAAGGUAUUCCGGUAGACGAUGGGGAUGCGUUCCAUUAGAUAGUAGGCGGGGUAACGGCCCACCUAGUCUUCGAUGGAUAGGGGUUCUGAGAGGAAGGUCCCCCACAUUGGAACUGAGACACGGUCCAAACUCCUACGGGAGGCAGCAGUGAGGAAUAUUGGUCAAUGGGCGAGAGCCUGAACCAGCCAAGUAGCGUGAAGGAUGACUGCCCUAUGGGUUGUAAACUUCUUUUAUAAAGGAAUAAAGUCGGGUAUGGAUACCCGUUUGCAUGUACUUUAUGAAUAAGGAUCGGCUAACUCCGUGCCAGCAGCCGCGGUAAUACGGAGGAUCCGAGCGUUAUCCGGAUUUAUUGGGUUUAAAGGGAGCGUAGAUGGAUGUUUAAGUCAGUUGUGAAAGUUUGCGGCUCAACCGUAAAAUUGCAGUUGAUACUGGAUAUCUUGAGUGCAGUUGAGGCAGGCGGAAUUCGUGGUGUAGCGGUGAAAUGCUUAGAUAUCACGAAGAACUCCGAUUGCGAAGGCAGCCUGCUAAGCUGCAACUGACAUUGAGGCUCGAAAGUGUGGGUAUCAAACAGGAUUAGAUACCCUGGUAGUCCACACGGUAAACGAUGAAUACUCGCUGUUUGCGAUAUACUGCAAGCGGCCAAGCGAAAGCGUUAAGUAUUCCACCUGGGGAGUACGCCGGCAACGGUGAAACUCAAAGGAAUUGACGGGGGCCCGCACAAGCGGAGGAACAUGUGGUUUAAUUCGAUGAUACGCGAGGAACCUUACCCGGGCUUAAAUUGCAGAUGAAUUACGGUGAAAGCCGUAAGCCGCAAGGCAUCUGUGAAGGUGCUGCAUGGUUGUCGUCAGCUCGUGCCGUGAGGUGUCGGCUUAAGUGCCAUAACGAGCGCAACCCUUGUUGUCAGUUACUAACAGGUUCCGCUGAGGACUCUGACAAGACUGCCAUCGUAAGAUGUGAGGAAGGUGGGGAUGACGUCAAAUCAGCACGGCCCUUACGUCCGGGGCUACACACGUGUUACAAUGGGGGGUACAGAGGGCCGCUACCACGCGAGUGGAUGCCAAUCCCCAAAACCUCUCUCAGUUCGGACUGGAGUCUGCAACCCGACUCCACGAAGCUGGAUUCGCUAGUAAUCGCGCAUCAGCCACGGCGCGGUGAAUACGUUCCCGGGCCUUGUACACACCGCCCG